AGUUUGAUCCUGGCUCAGGAUGAACGCUAGCGGGAGGCCUAACACAUGCAAGCCGAGCGGUAUUUGUCCUUCGGGACAGAGAGAGCGGCGCACGGGUGCGGAACACGUGUGCAACCUGCCUUUAUCAGGGGGAUAGCCUUUCGAAAGGAAGAUUAAUACCCCAUAAUAUAAUUGAUGGCAUCAUUGAUUAUUGAAAGCUCCGGCGGAUAGAGAUGGGCACGCGCAAGAUUAGAUAGUUGGUGAGGUAACGGCUCACCAAGUCAGUGAUCUUUAGGGGGCCUGAGAGGGUGAUCCCCCACACUGGUACUGAGACACGGACCAGACUCCUACGGGAGGCAGCAGUGAGGAAUAUUGGACAAUGGGUGAGAGCCUGAUCCAGCCAUCCCGCGUGAAGGACGACGGCCCUAUGGGUUGUAAACUUCUUUUGUACAGGGAUAAACCUGCCCUCGUGAGGGUAGCUGAAGGUACUGUACGAAUAAGCACCGGCUAACUCCGUGCCAGCAGCCGCGGUAAUACGGAGGGUGCAAGCGUUAUCCGGAUUUAUUGGGUUUAAAGGGUCCGUAGGCGGGCCUGUAAGUCAGUGGUGAAAUCUCGCAGCUUAACUGCGAAACUGCCAUUGAUACUGCAGGUCUUGAGUAAGGUAGAAGUGGCUGGAAUAAGUAGUGUAGCGGUGAAAUGCAUAGAUAUUACUUAGAACACCAAUUGCGAAGGCAGGUCACUAUGUCUUAACUGACGCUGAUGGACGAAA
This 748-nucleotide ribosomal RNA is filed under the name uncultured bacterium. Its description in RNAcentral is "bacterial SSU rRNA". It matches the Rfam family "Bacterial small subunit ribosomal RNA", at positions 10 to 758 of the family's 1533-position model. The record is from RNAcentral.